CGGUUGAUCCUGCCGGAGGUCACUGCUAUUGGGAUUCGACUAAGCCNUGCGAGUCGAGAGGGUUCGGCCCUCGGCUGACGGCUCAGUAACACGUGGAUAAUCUGCCCUUAGGUGGAGGAUAAUCUCGGGAAACUGAGGAUAAUACUCCAUAGAUCUAGGAUGCUGGAAUGCAUCUAGAUUGAAAGCUCCGGCGCCUAAGGAUGAGUCUGCGGACUAUCAGGUUGUAGUCAGGGUAAAGACCUGACUAGCCUACGACGGAUACGGGUUGUGAGAGCAAUAACCCGGAGACGAUAUCUGAGACACGAUAUCGGGCCCUACGGGGCGCAGCAGGCGCGAAAACUUCACACUGUGCGAAAGCGCGAUGAGGGAAUCCCAAGUGUUUGCUCGUAAGAGUAAACUGUUUCUUUGUUUAAAACGCAGAGAGAGUAAGGGCUGGGUAAGACGGGUGCCAGCCGCCGCGGUAAUACCUGCAGCUCGAGUGGUGAUCAUUAUUAUUGGGCCUAAAACGUCCGUAGCCGGUUUAGUAAAUGCCUGGGUAAAUCGUGUAGCUUAACUAUACGACUUCCGGGUAGACUGCUAAACUUGAGACCGGGAGAGGCUAGAGGUACUCCUGGGGUAGAGGUGAAAUUCUGUAAUCCUAGGGGGACCACCAGUGGCGAAGGCGUCUAGCUAGAACGGGUCUGACGGUGAGGGACGAAGCCCUGGGGCACAAACCGGAUUAGAUACCCGGGUAGUCCAGGGUGUAAACGCUGCUUGCUUGAUGUUAGUUGGGCUCCGAGCCCAACUAGUGUCGGAGAGAAGUUGUUAAGCAAGCUGCCUGGGAAGUACGGUCGCAAGGCUGAAACUUAAAGGAAUUGGCGGGGGAGCAC
RNAcentral lists this ribosomal RNA (869 nucleotides) under uncultured archaeon. RNAcentral describes it as "bacterial SSU rRNA". It matches the Rfam family "Archaeal small subunit ribosomal RNA", at positions 5 to 879 of the family's 1478-position model. The record is from RNAcentral.